GAAUCCCCGUGGCCAGGUCUGUGAGCUCCAUCAUCAGAUGAGGUCCUGCGAGAUGCUUCACAAGUCUCCGAUCCACAGAGAAAACAGCUCUGGGUUUGGGGGCCCCUCGAGAGAAAGGCCACCCACAGCCUCACUACCCAGGGACCCCUGGCGACAAGCUUUUGAUCAAGCUUUUGACCUACACAGGAGUGAAGGCCUGGCAUCUUAGUAUAAGAACCACGUGCUUGCCAGGGAUGCCAGGCUGAGCUUCGGGGCUCACCUCUGCCCAUUCCUGUCCCCACCCAAAGUGAUGUCACCCAUCCUUCAGGUGUGCCAGCCCAGGGCUCAGACUGCCCUCGGUGUCCACCCUUCCUCUCGGCUCACUCCCUUCCAUGCAUCCUCCUGAAGAAAGGACUGAGGCCAGCGUGGAAAUAGGAAAUGCACCAAAACUCGUGGAUGUAUAGUUCAGUGUACUGUAGAAAGAUGUGCACUGAGCCCAGGGUGGUGGUGUACCCCUGCCAUCCACCCCAGCACCCUGGGAGGAUGAGGCAGGAGGGUCAGAAGUGUGAGCCCAGCCUGGCAACUUAGCAAGAUCCAGCUUCAAAAUAGAAGUUUUAAAAAUGGAAGUGGAGGACAGAGCUCAGUGCGAAGGCCCUGGAUCAAGUCCUCCCAGUAACAGCAACAGUGAUGCGAUCAAGCAGCAAACCACUCGAUGGAUCCCCCGAGAUGUCACGGCCCCCCACAAAGCCCCUGGAAGUGGAAUGUGCUGCUCACUGGAAACGUUGGGCACAGUCAGGCUAUGCCACCCUCGCUCCGCCACGAAGCCCAUCAUGGGCUCUCGGUUCCUCCCCUGAGAGCAGUGGCACAAGGUGCUCGCCAGGGCGGGGGGGGGACAAGCACUCCCAUUGCGACUUCCAAGGAACACACCUCACAGGCGGGGCCCCGCACCUCCGGGGGCCCUGGGAACAUCCCCAUCCCCCAAGAGCACCAGGACCACAGCUCGGCCAGAGGGGGCACCUGGACUUCCACUUGGAGAGCAGUCGGGACAGCUGGUCCCCGCUGUCAACAUCACAGGAUGUCCAAUGCUAGCUGGGGAAGCAUCCCUCCGGACGGUCAGUGGGGGUUCUCUGCAAGAGACCAGCAUGGCUUGGUGGGCGGUGGGGCAGGGGGGCAGCCCAUGCCAGGGCCUGGAAGGAUCACAAGGCUGAGACAGGCUGGCCCAUCCCCAUGACCACGCGUGAGCAGCCAGGAUGAGGGAGUGAGAAGGGGGGAGGGGGCUGCGCACCCACCCCUAGCUCUUGGCUUCACACCUGGGCUGGAGGCCACACCACGCCACCUGGUGUGCAGAGCAUAGCUGUCUCUGCUUCUGCAGGUGUGGGGUCCGCCCUUGAGAGUGUCUUUCUGAGUAUAGACAGGUGCUGACCUGCAGGGAUGGAGACUGAAAUGAGGGGGAGGUGUCUCGCGCUGUUGAACCUGCUCCCUUCACCCCAGCUCUGCCCUACAUGGGUCUCUUAGGCCCAGAUGACACCCCAGCCGGCCUUUCCAGAGGUCUUGCCACUCGGGGUCCACCCCUCCCACCCAGGCCAAUCCCUGCCAUCCCUCAGACCCAGGGGACAUGCACACGUCCAUGGGGUGUGGGAGAGACAGAGGAAGAGGCUGGUCCACGCCCUCACCACCCCGUCGCCUCCACCCGUAGGAGGCAGAGGUGCUGGGGAAAGGAGUCUCUCCAUGGACUGAGGCUGGCACAACGGCCACUGUGCGGGCCUGGAGUGUGACCGGUCCCAAAGGUCACAGGGCUCGUGAGCUUUGCGGAUCAUUUCUCUAUCAACCCAGAGGCUGAAAAUGGAUCUCACAAGAAAGGAAAGAGAAACAUAUUCAGGGCAAGCCCACAGGAAGCAAAGCAAAGAUUGAAGAGUCCUUGCUUUCAGGGACACAGAUGUCACACACGAAAUUGCCCAGCGCAGUGCCGGGUCAGCCCCGGCCACGCCCCUGUCACACACCACCUUCGGCCCCAUGGGGCCAGAGCUGGGCACAGAACCCUCCCAGCUCCCUGACCCUCCACCCCAGGGCUAGACGUGUACUGGGCUGCGUGCUCCCAAAGCUGUUCUGGUUACAUGACAAAAAUAGAAAGCCUAGACUGCGUAUGAAAGAGAUUUUUUACAGUACAUAUUCACAAAGUGACUAUUUACAUUCCAUAUUCAUGAAAUGAAUAUUCACGAGCGUAGUAGCAGAUGCCUGGGAUCUCAGCUUUCAGGAGGCUGAGACAGGAGGAUCACUGUGAGUUUGAGGCCAGCCUGGGCUACAUCAUGAGUUUAAGGCCAGUCUGAACUGCCUAAGGAGACCCUGUCUCAAAAACAAAACAAACCGGGCCAGGAAUUUAACUCAGUGGCAAACUCAAGGUCAUGAGUUUGAUCCCCAACACCAAAAUCAAACAAAUAAACAAAAAUGACAUGUUCAUGGAUGGUGGCUUGAGGAGCAAUACCAGAACAAGCGGAAGGAAGGGCGAGGAGGGGCAGAGAGGGGUGGCGCGGAGCUCCCACAUCUCACAUGACAACAGGGCCAUGUGGCUUGUUGAGCUCCAGGUGCUCCAGGUGAGCCAGGCCUAGCCAGAGCCAAGCCCACCAAGCCCAGGGCCAGGGUGCCUCUGCCUGGGCCCUGGGGUUCCCAAGCACCCACCAACUGUUCCGCGCAGCCUGGUCCCAGCCCACCAGCUCCCUCGCCUGCCGUCCUGAGAUACAGCUCCCAGUGAGCAUGGGAUGAGCAUCUCGAGGGAGCAGGUAGCUCCCAGCCCUGCUGAGGCUAAGGCGGAGGCCCAUGGAGUCUUCGCACUCUGAGACACCAGACCGGCACAGCUGCCUGCCUGCCAUCUCCUCGGUGACCCAAGGUGUGAGGCAGGAGUCACCCUGGGUGCCACUGGGCCCAGCUCACCCUGAAUACUGGGACACCGGUGUCACUCCAGCUGGCCAGCAAGAGCAAAGCUGGGCACUUUGGGUGGCCUCAGUGUCUGUACAGUGGAGGGAGCUUGGCUGAUGUAUUUAUUGACUUUCUGGCAGGACUGGGACCUUCACGCUGAGCCAGGUCCUGGUGCUUUUCUCACUCGUGUUGAGACAGAGUCUCGACAGGUUGUUAAAUUGUCCAGCCUGGCCUCAAAUUUAUAACUCUCCUGUUGAGACAGGAGAGUAGCAGGAAGACAGGCAUGCACCACCAUGCCCAGCUCAUUUUCAGACUAUGUAACCCACAUGCAUGAAAAAUAUUUAAGGGCAUACUGGUGUAGCUUGGUGCAACUGACGCCAUCUUGAGCCCUGCAUUUAACUCGUGCUCUGUAUUUGACCCAGGAAAUAGAAAAGUACUCAGGAUACAAGUCCCAUAAGAAAAACAGAUUGAGCUGUACCAACAGGAAAAAAAUUAACCUGCUCAACAAAAUCAGCAGGAUACAGGUGUCAACCAAAAAUUGAUGAAAGAUUAGAGCUAAAUUGUUUCCAACAGGAUGUGUUUUGUGAUUCUCUGUUUUAAAAGCUCUGUAACUUUCCAGUUUGGGGCCAUUUGUUUGGACCCUAAACCAGGGAGGUCUGUAUAGGACUGGUCCUGAGCUCAGUUAAUUAAAUUCCAGAUUCAUCAAUUUGGCUGCUCAGAUUCCUAUAUUGUUGCUCUCAUACCCACCUCACAUAUCAUUUUAAAAAGAGAAACUAAAAGUUCCACAUUGCACGCCUCCCCUGCCGUGGAGUGCAACCUAGGCUGAUCCUCCACUGGAUCUUAAAGUCCUAAUUAUUUUUCUGUUAAAGGAACAAUGUUGCACCAAGGCCUGUUUCCUGGCUUGGCCACAUAUGAAGGGAAAAAGUCUUCAUUUGUAACAAACAUAGACUGAAAUAUUUAGGCAAAAAUAAAAACUGAAAUUUUCUCUGUAUCUGAGGUGGGAAGGGGUACAGAUGUGGUUAAAUGUUAAGAACUGGAAAACUAAGUGACAGGCAUGAUGGGAAUUUUCUGCAGGGCUUUGUGGCCUCCCAGGAGCCUGCGGUACUGCAGAGGGAGAUGAACACGGCAUGGCAAGGUUUCCUGUGUCACCACUGUGUCCUUCAAAGGCUGCUGCGUGCUCUGUUAUCCGGGUGAUCGAGGGGCAUUCCACUGCUUAGCCUGGGUCUUGAGACCAGUUUUCAGUGCAAAAUUUAUAUGCAAAAACUCUCAGAUCUUAGUACUUUUAUUUUCACACAAAAUAAAGAGCCAGAGAUGAGAUUUCUGGGAGGAAAUUUUCACUAUAUUUUUAUUUUUUACAGAUCAAUUAUUUUAAUUGGCAAAUAAACAUCAUAUAUUUGUCAUGUGCAGCGUGAUGUCUUCAGAG
Cavia porcellus (domestic guinea pig) is the source of this 4315-nucleotide long non-coding RNA. RefSeq lists it as uncharacterized. The record is from RefSeq and is a predicted model, not a curated record. Lineage: Eukaryota; Metazoa; Chordata; Mammalia; Rodentia; Caviidae. The transcript has 3 exons.